RNAcentral lists this ribosomal RNA (492 nucleotides) under uncultured bacterium. RNAcentral describes it as "partial 16S ribosomal RNA". It matches the Rfam family "Bacterial small subunit ribosomal RNA", at positions 29 to 507 of the family's 1533-position model. The record is from RNAcentral.
AGUGAACGCUGGCGGCAGGCCUAACACAUGCAAGUCGAACGGCAGCACAGUAAGAGCUUGCUCUUACGGGUGGCGAGUCGCGGACGGGUGAGGAAUACAUCCGAAUCUACUUUUUCGUGGGGGAUAACGUAGGGAAACUUACGCUAAUACCGCAUACGAUCUACGGGUGAAAGCAGGGGAUCUUCGGACCUUGCGCGAAUGAAUGAGCCGAUGUCGGAUUAGCUAGUUGGCGGGGUAAAGGCCCACCAAGGCGACGAUCCGUAGCUGGUCUGAGAGGAUGAUCAGCCACACUGGAACUGAGACACGGUCCAGACUCCUACGGGAGGCAGCAGUGGGGAAUAUUGGACAAUGGGCGCAAGCCUGAUCCAGCCAUACCGCGUGGGUGAAGAAGGCCUUCGGGUUGUAAAGCCCUUUUGUUGGGAAAGAAAAGCAGCAGGUUAAGACCCCGCUGUUCUGACGGUACCCAAAGAAUAAGCACCGGCUAACUUCGUG